Long non-coding RNA from Syngnathus typhle (broad-nosed pipefish), 448 nucleotides. RefSeq lists it as uncharacterized. The record is from RefSeq and is a predicted model, not a curated record. The transcript has 2 exons. Lineage: Eukaryota; Metazoa; Chordata; Actinopteri; Syngnathiformes; Syngnathidae.
UGAAAAAGAAAAAACAAGAUGAACCUAGUACAACUAAUACAUUGCAUUGUAUGCAUGUGCCAUAACGUAUAAGGAGGACUUACCUGACUAUCUUUUAAAUAACAGUCCCAACAUACUUCGUCUUGUGCCUAAUAGAAGCCGCAUGCAGCAGAUGUUCCACAUGUAGAUAAGUGUGACAUGAUGCUUCAUGUUGCAUUGUCAUCCAUCAUCGAUCUCCUCAUAUUUCAAUGGCACAUCCUUGGCAUCCUGUCACCGGAAACUCCAGCACCGUCCGGCUGCGGGAGCCCCAGCGUGAGCGGCAGGCCGGCGACAGAGCGCACGAAGCGGCAAACAUAUCCAGACCUCUGCUUCCUGACCAGACAAAACAAGUGACGGAAAACGCAUUGGAACAGCAUGUGGCACUAAAGACACUGGUAAAACCAAGUAAUAAAAUUGGUUGCGCAAUUUU